Molecule: ribosomal RNA, 253 nt
Filed under: uncultured bacterium
Lineage: Bacteria
Description: partial 16S ribosomal RNA
Rfam family: Bacterial small subunit ribosomal RNA
Source: RNAcentral
UACGGGGGGUGCGAGCGUUGUCCGGAAUCACUGGGCGUAAAGGGCGCGUAGGUGGUCUGAUAAGGCUGUGGUGAAAGCCCGGGGCUCAACCCCGGGUCUGCCGUGGCGACUGUCAGACUGGAGGGCUCGAGAGGCAGACGGAAUUCCGGGUGUAGCGGUGGAAUGCGUAGAGAUCCGGAAGAAGACCGGUGGCGAAGGCGGUCUGCUGGCGAGUACCUGACACUGAGGCGCGACAGCGUGGGGAGCAAACAGG